ACGGCCUAAAGCGUGAUUAAAUUAUAUUAAAAUAAAUAGAAAUAAAAAUUAACUCAACUGUCAUACGUUUGUGUUAAAUGGUGAACCAAAAACGAAAGAUAUUCUAACAAACAAAUUAUUUGAAUCCACGAAAGCUAAGAAACAAACUAGGAUUAGAUACCCUACUAUGCUUAGCCCUAAACUUUGGAACCACCCCGCCCGAGUACUACGAGCCACAGCUUAAAACUCAAAGGACUUGGCGGUGCUCUACACCCCCCUAGAGGAGCCUGUUCUAUAAUUGAUACCCCCCGCUAAACCUCACCACUUAUUGCCAAUCCCGCCUAUAUACCGCCGUCGUCAGCUCACCAUUUAAAUGAAGAAUAGUAGGCAUAAUGAUAAACAUAAAAACGUCAGGUCAAGGUGUAGCGAAUUAAGUGGAAAGAAAUGGGCUACAUUUUCUAAACUAGAAAAAUACGAAAAAUUUUAUGAAAAACUAUUUAAAGGUGGAUUUAGCAGUAAAAAGAAAAUAGAGUGUUCUUUUUAAAUAGGCCAUAGAGCGCGCACACACCGCCCGUCACCCUCCUCAAAAACCAACCAAUUAUAUAAUAAAAGAAAAUAAAAGAAGAGGUAAGUCGUAACAUGGUAAGUUUACCGGAAGGUGUACUUGGAUUAU
Molecule: ribosomal RNA, 652 nt
Filed under: Hynobius nebulosus (clouded salamander)
Lineage: Eukaryota; Metazoa; Chordata; Amphibia; Caudata; Hynobiidae
Description: partial 12S ribosomal RNA
Rfam family: Bacterial small subunit ribosomal RNA
Source: RNAcentral